AUUGAACGCUAGCGGCAUGCCUAACACAUGCAAGUCGUACGGUAACAGGUUUCCUUCGGGGAAUGCUGACGAGUGGCGAACGGGUGAGUAAUGCAUCGGAACGUACCCAGUCGUGGGGGAUAACGUAGCGAAAGUUACGCUAAUACCGCAUACGACCUGAGGGUGAAAGCAGGGGAUCUUCGAACCUUGUGCGAUUGGAGCGGCCGAUGUCAGAUUAGCUAGUUGGUGGGGUAAAGGCCUACCAAGGCGACGAUCUGUAGCGGGUCUGAGAGGAUGAUCCGCCACACUGGAACUGAGACACGGUCCAGACUCCUACGGGAGGCAGCAGUGGGGAAUUUUGGACAAUGGGCGCAAGCCUGAUCCAGCCAUGCCGCGUGAGUGAAGAAGGCCUCGGUU
This 396-nucleotide ribosomal RNA is filed under the name uncultured bacterium. RNAcentral describes it as "bacterial SSU rRNA". It matches the Rfam family "Bacterial small subunit ribosomal RNA", at positions 30 to 424 of the family's 1533-position model. The record is from RNAcentral.